RNAcentral lists this ribosomal RNA (370 nucleotides) under uncultured bacterium. RNAcentral's name for it is "bacterial SSU rRNA". It matches the Rfam family "Bacterial small subunit ribosomal RNA", at positions 28 to 402 of the family's 1533-position model. The record is from RNAcentral.
GACGAACGCUGGCGGCGUGCUUAACACAUGCAAGUCGAACGGAAAGGCCCUUCGGGGUACUCGAGUGGCGAACGGGUGAGUAACACGUGGGUGAUCUGCCCUGCACUCUGGGAUAAGCCUGGGAAACUGGGUCUAAUACCGGAUAUGAUCAUGCGCCUCAUGGUGUGUGGUGGAAAGCUUUUGCGGUGUGGGAUGGGCCCGCGGCCUAUCAGCUUGUUGGUGGGGUAAUGGCCUACCAAGGCGACGACGGGUAGCCGGCCUGAGAGGGUGACCGGCCACACUGGGACUGAGAUACGGCCCAGACUCCUACGGGAGGCAGCAGUGGGGAAUAUUGCACAAUGGGCGCAAGCCUGAUGCAGCGACGCCGCGU